AAGAUGCAGCCGGAGAAACUGCCCGAGCGUUGUCUCGUCCGUCUUCUGAUGCUGUGCCUGGUUCCCAGCAACAUUGUGGUUGUGAGGUGGAAAAGGAACCGUCAUCCUCCAGCUGUUAAUAUUAGUGACGGAAAUAUUGUUAGGUUGUUCUAAAAGGAGUCGGCACCUCAAGUUCAUAGCCUGCAAGUUCUGCGGCCAGGCGGUCUCUCAUCCACCUCCUGAUGCUGUGCCUGGUUCCCAGCAACAUUGUGGUUGUGAGGUGGAAAAGGAACCGUCAUCCUCCAGCUGUUAAUAUUAGUGACGGAAAUAUUGUUAGGUUGUUCUAAAAGGAGUCGGCACCUCAAGUUCAUAGCCUGCAAGUUCUGCGGCCAGGUGGUGUCUCAUCCACCUCCUGAUGCUGUGCCUGGUUCCCAGCAACAUUGUGGUUGUGAGGUGGAAAAGGAACCGUCAUCCUCCAGCUGUUAAUAUUAGUGACGGAAAUAUUGUUAGGUUGUUCUAAAAGGAGUCGGCACCUCAAGUUCAUAGCCUGCAAGUUCUGCGGCCAGGCGGUCUCUCAUCCUCCUCCUGAUGCUGUGCCU
Molecule: long non-coding RNA, 578 nt
Organism: Micropterus salmoides (largemouth bass)
Lineage: Eukaryota; Metazoa; Chordata; Actinopteri; Centrarchiformes; Centrarchidae
Exons: 4
Source: RefSeq, a predicted model, not a curated record